RNAcentral lists this ribosomal RNA (382 nucleotides) under uncultured eukaryote. RNAcentral's name for it is "partial 18S ribosomal RNA". It matches the Rfam family "Eukaryotic small subunit ribosomal RNA", at positions 592 to 976 of the family's 1831-position model. The record is from RNAcentral.
UGUAAGCGUAUACCAAAGUUGUUGCAGUUAAAACGCUCGUAGUCGGAGUUUGGCAGUUCCGGAUGUGUGCACGUCGUGUGCGCACUUCGCGGGGUUUGCUUUUGUGGUCUUGCGUAGGAUGAGGCACUUUUAUUAGUGAACGUCCUCACGCAACCACUUUUUACUGUGAGAAAAUCAGAGUGCUCAAAGCAGGCAUUUGCCGUGAAUGUAUUAGCAUGGAAUAAUAGAAUAGGACUUGGUUCAAUUUUGUUGGUUUGUUGGGACUGAGUAAUGAUUAAGAGGGACAGUUGGGGGCAUUUGUAUUUCGGUGCUAGAGGUGAAAUUCUUAGAUUACCGAAAGACAAACUGCUGCGAAAGCGUCUGCCAAGGAUGUUUUCAUUGA